RNAcentral lists this transfer RNA (72 nucleotides) under Orientia chuto str. Dubai. Its description in RNAcentral is "Orientia chuto str. Fuller tRNA". It matches the Rfam family "tRNA". From Rfam's summary of the family: Transfer RNA (tRNA) molecules are approximately 80 nucleotides in length. Lineage: Bacteria; Pseudomonadati; Pseudomonadota; Alphaproteobacteria; Rickettsiales; Rickettsiaceae. The record is from Rfam by way of RNAcentral.
GCGGGUGUAACUCAGUGGUAGAGUAUUACCUUGCCAAGGUAAAAGCCGUGGGUUCAAGUCCCAUCACCCGCU